GCGGCGCGCUGGAGGAGGGAGGGCGCGCGGGAACCCGGCCCGGCCGUACCCCGCCGGCCUGCCGACCCGGGUCCGGGGGCCCAGUUGGCGCCCGGACCAGCUCUCCGGUCUGCGUCCUGUAGAUGGGAAAACUGAGGCCUGAGAGGGCGCGAGGGCGGGGACGAGGCCGAGGACUCGGGUUCGAAUCUCGAGGACGCCAGUAGCCCGCUCUGAGGCCGCGUGGGGCUGGUGGAGGAGCCACCGGUCGGGCCCCCAAGACCGGCUGACGUGGGCCUCGCCUCGGGCGACUCCCGCCGGGCUAGUGGCUGGCCGUGUGGUGACCUUGGGCGAGUUACUUCGCACAGCCACCCAGGGGCCUCUUCUCCAACACGAUAGCACUGCACCCGGAGGGCCUUCAGACCUGAGCUGAAAUCUACACCACCGGCUCUCUGACUAUCAGGCUUUGGACUAUACUUUGGGCUUUCCUGGGUCUCUUACCUGGCAGACAGCAGAUUUUGGAACUUUUCAGCCUCCAUAAUCAUCCUUCCACCACGUGAUGACACAAGAAGGUCCUUGUACGAUGUUGGCACCUUGAUCUUGGACUUCCCAUCCUCCAGAACACUGCAUAAUAUUUCAUUGUAUGGAUAAACUACACAGUUCCCAGUGAUGAAGACCAAGAUUGUUCCCAAUCUGUUUGCUAUUAUAAACAGUGUUGCAACAAACAGGCUUUGUGUGUAUCAUUUCAUAUGAGUACAAGAGUUUCUGUAGACUUGACAAUAAAAAGAUAACCCAAUUGAAAAAACA
Molecule: long non-coding RNA, 783 nt
Filed under: Homo sapiens (human)
Lineage: Eukaryota; Metazoa; Chordata; Mammalia; Primates; Hominidae
Description: HSALNT0291691
Source: RNAcentral